AGCGAACGCUGGCGGCAGGCCUAACACAUGCAAGUCGAACGGAUCCUUCGGGAUUAGUGGCGGACGGGUGAGUAACACGUGGGAACGUGCCCUUUGGUUCGGAACAACUCAGGGAAACUUGGGCUAAUACCGGAUGUGCCCUUCGGGGGAAAGAUUUAUCGCCAUUGGAGCGGCCCGCGUCUGAUUAGCUAGUUGGUGAGGUAACGGCCCACCAAGGCGACGAUCAGUAGCUGGUCUGAGAGGAUGAUCAGCCACACUGGGACUGAGACACGGCCCAGACUCCUACGGGAGGCAGCAGUGGGGAAUCUUGCGCAAUGGGCGAAAGCCUGACGCAGCCAUGCCGCGUGAAUGAUGAAGGUCUUAGGAUUGUAAAAUUCUUUCAGCGGGGACGAUAAUGACGGUACCCGCAGAAGAAGCGCCGGCUAACUUCGUG
RNAcentral lists this ribosomal RNA (433 nucleotides) under uncultured bacterium. Its description in RNAcentral is "partial 16S ribosomal RNA". It matches the Rfam family "Bacterial small subunit ribosomal RNA", at positions 29 to 507 of the family's 1533-position model. The record is from RNAcentral.